This 203-nucleotide long non-coding RNA is filed under the name Elaeis guineensis (African oil palm). RNAcentral describes it as "long non-coding RNA (EGUI_LNC031992)". Lineage: Eukaryota; Viridiplantae; Streptophyta; Magnoliopsida; Arecales; Arecaceae. The record is from RNAcentral.
GUAUAACUAAAUAGAAAGCUACAUUUAUUCUCUAACUUGUUGUAAAUUGGUCAUGAGCAUUGCAUUAUUUUACACUAAGAAGCUAAACCACCUUAUUUUUCUUAUGCCGGUAACAAUUGCCUUCACUUGCUUUUUUUUGAUACAUGGAGGAUAAUUAGGAAGUUUCAUAACAAUUUGAAAGUUUGAAGUAAUUCUCAUGAUCG